AAACUUAGGAUAAUACGAACCAAAG
This 25-nucleotide transfer RNA is filed under the name Forpus passerinus (green-rumped parrotlet). RNAcentral's name for it is "partial tRNA-Trp". The record is from RNAcentral. Lineage: Eukaryota; Metazoa; Chordata; Aves; Psittaciformes; Psittacidae.